AAAUUUUUUGGAUGGCUAGAUUUUAGUUCAGGGCUCUUUGGAUGAUGGUUUUAGAUAGGAAAAAUUGUAGGAUUCACUGGUGCUGAGAUAUAAUCACGUGGCACAGGCCUGCGUGCUCUUUUCCGCUUUUGACAGGAUUGUAUGUCUGCCUGAAUAGAGGAGAUGUAUAUUCAAAAACUAAGCAGCGAUCCACAGAAGCAGCAGGACGUUCUAUAGUCUCAAUUGUUGUGGACCACACAUUUCUCUGCAUUAAAGAUACUGAGUUCCAGCUCGAACUUUUGAUGCAAUCACUCUUAUUCUCACGGGUACUCUUCUAUGACUCUUACAUAUUAAAUUAAAAUUUUCAUUGCCAUUGUCUUAGUAUUCUAUGACUCUUGGAUUUACUUUUAUAAAAAAAAAAAAAGGUUCAGUCUAUGGAGUGCGUAUACAUCAAGGAGGGUCCUAUGUACUCUUUUUGUUUUGUAGUUGUUUUUUUUUUUUUUUUUAAUUAUAAUUUUCCAAAGAAAAAGAAAGCCAAGAUUACAGCUGAUUACAAAGGACUGAGUUCACUAUUACAGCUUUCUUUAGACUUUGUUGAGAUCAGCAAAGAACCAAGUAUGUAACUUGGUCAUUAGUAUCAAACUUGAUAGUUUUAUGUUGCUGUCAUCAUCUUUAAUUUUCUGCAAUAAGGAUCCUUUGUGCUAGCUUGUCUUAGAAUUGUUUGAUUGUGAUUGUUAAUUUGCCCAGACGAUUGCUUGAUGUAUAAUUUUAGAAGGGUUAUCUACUUAAUAUUUCAAAAUCUUGAAACAUAGACUUCACUUUUGGGUAUGGUUAUAAGCUAUACUUGGUUGAACUGUGUUCAUUUGAUUUGUGUUUGCUGAAUUAUUUCAAUUUAUGUUUUUGUGAUACCUCAUUAGCUAUUUGAUCUGGUCUGCUGGCUAUGAAUAUGAAUGAACAUGUAUGAGAUAGAGAAAGAGAGAGCAGCCUGAUGAUGUUGAUGAGAGCUAGACAGAGAAAAACAGAGGAGAAUAGUAGGUUGCUAGAAGAGAACUAGGGCUUCCCAAACUCCUCGGAUCUGCGCCGUGGAGUUUGAAAGUGGAUGAGUGUUAAAAAGAGGCUCUACACAUUUGGAUGCGGAUUAGGGCUACAGGUACUGAUCAUGGAACGCUUCCUAUCUUUUUCGUUUUGAUUCAUUAGAACUGAGGUAUUGUACCGUACAUGGGUUUAGCUUGCAGAGUUUUCGUAGAGGUAAAGAAAGCAUCUGCAUUAGAAGGUUCUGAUUUCGUAUAUACACUUUUGUUGUUGUUGUUUUCUUAAUUUUUUUUUAUUCUGGGCCCUUCACUGGUCUCUCUCCCCUCAAUCCUCUUCUCUCGCUUGGCCUCUCCAAUAUCACUCUUUUCUCCAUCACUUCAUUUGCUUUUGCUGUUACGUUUUCUGAUUUCUGUGAAUUUGAGGGGUAUAAAUGGAGGGGGAGGGAAUUGGGUUUGGUUGUGAGAGUGAAAUUAUGCAUCUUUGUAUGUUAUUUCAGUCCAAGUUUGUACCUUUGUAUAUCUGUGUGUGUUAUGUUUUCAUAAAUGGGAAGGCAGCUGUGAUUGGGUUCCUACUGUUUUUAGAUUUUGAACUCUUGACUGUUAAAGGCUGGUCACGCAUUUCUACUGAUGUUAUCCGUUUAGAUGGAUAUAUGAAGCAGUGUUUAUUUCAUCCUAUUUAAAGGUCACUACUUUAACGUAGGAGAUGGGGUGACAUAAUAUUGUGUGUCAUAUAUGUUUUUACAACUUUUUACAUAUUUUAUACAGUUUCAAUACUCGCAUCAUUACGCGGGCACCUUUGCUAGUAUUGCUUAUAACCUGUUAUGAAAUAUAAACAAUUUGACUGAAUAUACAAUUUGUAUACCUAUAAAGAAAUCACAGAAGAAACAAAAAGGAAAGAUUUUCAGAAAGAAAAAAAAUGGUGGGAAGAGGGUACGAAGCUGGGGAAGGGAAGAAAUUGUAGCAACCAAGGAUU
Prunus persica (peach) is the source of this 1983-nucleotide long non-coding RNA. RefSeq lists it as uncharacterized. The record is from RefSeq and is a predicted model, not a curated record. The transcript has 3 exons. NCBI's taxonomy places the organism in Eukaryota, Viridiplantae, Streptophyta, Magnoliopsida, Rosales, Rosaceae.